AGUCUGAGAGGUCGGAGGCUGCGGUGUUGCUGCUGAAGGGUGGACCGGGCUGGAUCGCGGAUUCUGGGCUAGAUCGCAGAGGAGGUGCCUAAUGAGAGAACUCAUUCCCCUAUCAAAAAAUACCUGGAGUCAUUUUUCAGUGGCGAAAAGUUCUCAGAACUACUCUACAUUAGGCCUGUGCCAAUGCCUGUGGGGAAGGGGUCACUCUCCUGCUGAGCAGAAAAUGCCAGACUGACGUUUGUGACAAUCAAAACAGUACGCCUUUGAUACAGGCUGCACAUUGGCGGGAAGAGACUUGUGCCAACAUUCUGCUGGAACACGGCGCCAAUCCAAAUCUUAAGGAUAUCUACGGCAACACUGCUCUCCAUUAUGCUGAGUGUAAUGAGAGUACGUCACUGGCAGAAAAACUGCUUCCCCAUGAUGCAAAUAUUGAAGCACUGGACAAGUGACCCAUUUGGAGCAGCAGUGCCUGACAUUAGCACCUGGGAUCCUGACACCAUUGACAGAAGUGAAUCAAGCAGGUUUGUACCACACAGAGGAAACCUUCACCUCUAUUGGGAAGCUCUGGCAACAGUAUCUCUGAAACUCUUAAUUCCUCAAUUGUUAAUGUUUGCCACAAAACUAUUGUCAUGAAGUUGAGGUGUGUUGAAGUUGGGGCUCUGAGGUUGGAUACCAGUGUGCAGAUGCAGGUGACUUGUGCCCCAGCACUGGGCUGCCUGGCUGUGCCCUGAGCUUGUCUGACCUUCAGUCUGUGCUGGGUUGGAACCUGCUCUAGAGGUUUCCAGAUCUCUUCUUUUCACCCUCCACCCCACCAGACCCUCAGGCCUUUUCUGUGCUCACUUCCCAAGCUCCCCUUGGACUCUGCUCCAGAGUACAAGCCAGCCCCACCUGGGACCUUGACUGCCACUUCACCCCCAUUGCUCUUCUGAGCCUGUGGUGACGAUAUGUCCAGACCCCUUUCUGCCCCGGAGCUGCAGUGGGUCUCAGAGGAGCCCAGCUGUACCCCACAGUCUACCCUGGGGAGCUGGAGACACAUCUGAUACUGUCACUGCAGGGGGUGCCCCAUGUGGCAGCUGCUCUGCCGGGGCUGCCUGACCCAUCCCCAGCUGUAACUCCCAUGUCACUGGUAUGCACAGGCACUCAGCUCUUUGACUUUGUCACAUCCACGUUCUUGUUUGGUGGCACCAGGUCCCGGCAGGGCUGAGGGAAGAACCCUUUGAAACUCAGUUGUCUGUGUCCAGCAAGGAUGGGUGUGAGGCCUCAUGCAUCCAGCAUCAGGGAAACCUCGCCAGGUGUUGCUCCCAAGUAGGUGCCCAUUGCAGUGCCUGCCCCUGCCGGUGGGCACUGCCUGAGCUAAAUCCCUGUCUCACCUUCCCGGACCUUCACCUGGUUUCAGGGCUCCUCAGCCAUCCGCAUGCCACUGAAACAUCAAAGAGGUUGUGAGGAAGAUUCUGGGGCACCUGCCUUCUAGAGGGGGCUGAGGGCAGCUGUGGACGGUUAUUUAUGGGGAUGUUUUUGACCUGGGCCGCAAGCAGGUGGGUAAGUGGCACAGGGAUGGCAGCUCAAGGUGCCCUGGCUUCUCUGCAUGCCUGUCAGUGAGUGGAGGAACCCAGGCCGGCCACCAGGUUCCGUCCUAGCUUAUUCUCUAUCCUCAGGGAAUAAUUCUUUGUGUCCUCAGGUGAGGUACCUACCCUGUCUCUGCCUCAGUUUCUUCCUCUGUGAGACAGGGAUCCUAACAGGCCCUACCUCUGACAGUGGUUUUGAUGAAGUACGCGAUGUGGGUGAAGCACCUGGAGCAGCCCACUCUCGAAGAACGCACCACAGACUCUCAAGGUUCAUGUUGAAAGGGGGCUGGGGCGGGGCAAAAGUGGGCAGGCCAUUUCAGCUCCAGGCACCUGGGCUGACAGAUUGGGUUAAAUUAGCAUGUGCCUUGCUGAGUGCACAGGGGACAGUUGUCCAGGCAAGAGGCACCAGGGUCAAAGCUGGUGAUGCCUUGGCCUCGUCACCCUAGGUUAGGGCCAGUGCAUGAUGUAGUCAGCCAGGGGAGGGCUCUGGAGCCCUGCAGCCGAGGGGGCCUGGUGACCCUCUCAAGGUUAUUCACCAGCCGCUAGGGUGGCCUGCGCUUUUCUAGCCAGGCCUCACUCUAGGAAAAAAAAAAAAAUCGAUUGUAACCUUGUUGGCAGUUUCCUUUGCAUAGAAGUGGGAAGUCGCUGCUAGCGAGGCUGGUGAUGAACUCUGCAAAAGCUGGGAAAUCUGGUUUGAGCAGGAGCGCCCGUUAUCUUGGCCAAGCUGCUGCAGCUGGGCUGGCGGGUGUGGAAGUGUGGGUGGUGGUCAUGGUGCUGUUUGGGGCCCAGGCCCCUCAGAGCAGAAGACUGGGCCUGUGUGCAGAAGGCAGCCUUGGGGUGCUGGCUCCCCUAGUGCCCAGUUGCUGAUGAAACCUCAGCCAUGCCCUGACCCCUUCCCACCCGUGGCAGAGGGCUGUGUGUCUUCUAAGGGUAUCAGGAGGCUCAGGUCCUGUUCAUGGUUCCACCAUGAGUGUGAGAGGCAAAUUCGGGGCCUCCAUGUCUUGGCACGGAAUGAGGAGAGGGAUGUCUGUGUUCUGCGGUGGGUGGCUAAGGCAGAGUCUUGAAGGAAGAAGCCUCCAGAAGAAAGGAUGAUGCAGAGAUGGUGGCACCUUCAGGGCUAGGGCCAGCUCCCAUCUCUGCUCCUCCUCCCGCUGCUCCUCCAGGUCACCCCUCUCCCAGCUGGGGGCCCAGGAGGAGAGCAGUCUGCAGGGACCCUGCACCCCACCCGGGGUCCCCUGCUCUACAUUUUGGGAAGAAGGAAUUGAAGUCUGGGACUCAGGCUGCACUGCCAUGAUAGUGACAGUUAUCCUUAUUGGACACCAGGGAGGUAGCCCUUGGCAUUUAUUGAGUGGCCAGUGUAUGCACUAGGCUGUCCAUGGAUCUUCAGAGGCCAGUGUUUUCUUGAUGGUCUGACAGAGGCUUAAACUGAGGGCAUUAGGAAUGAGACAGGCUGUCGGAUUUUCCAGAUGGAGGGACUGACUUGUAAGUGAGUGCAGCUGGGCUGUGUAGCCAUGAACUGAGGCAGUUGGCUCCCAAAAUGAGGCUCCUGUGGACCACCCAGUCCAGCCUGCCCCAGGCCUUUGCUCCUCACCUGCUCAGUGCUGGGCAUUGGGCCAUGACGGGCUGGGCGAUCUGAUGCCUUGUUAUGCCCUUUCCUUUUGUGUUUAGACACAACCGCCCAGCAUGCCUGCUGCAGUAGAGAUCGUACGACUGACAGAACGGAAGCUUUGUGACACUAAGGUGCCAAAUUACAAACAGCACCUAAGGCCACGCCAGGCAAGGGUUGAGUCACACACGCCUUGACUUAAAGAAUAAACUGUUCUGAUUGCCACAGGGCUUUCUUUUUCUCUAGCAGCUAAAUAAGCACUAUUAAAACCAUGGUAACUCAGCACCAGACACUGACUGACUGGCCCCCAAACCCUGUUCUAGCAGCUGUAACUGCAGCUCUGAUGGGACAGGAGGCUGUUUUUAGUAACUUUCUUGUAUUAAGAGCCCACCCACCAU
This is a non-coding RNA of Chlorocebus sabaeus (green monkey), 3569 nucleotides long. The record is from RefSeq and is a predicted model, not a curated record. Lineage: Eukaryota; Metazoa; Chordata; Mammalia; Primates; Cercopithecidae.